CCCUUAGAUGUUCUGGGCCGCACGCGCGCUACACUGACGAAUGCAACGAGCUCCUAACCUAGGCCGAAGGGUCCGGGUAAUCUUUGAAAUUUCAUCGUGAUGGGGAUAGAUUAUUGCAAUUAUUAAUCUUCAACGAGGAAUUCCUAGUAAGCGCGAGUCAUCAGCUCGCGUUGAUUACGUCCCUGCCCUUUGUACACACCGCCCGUCGCUCCUACCGAUUGAAUGGUCCGGUGAAAUGUUCGGACCGCGACAAGGCGGACGGUUCGCUGUCAGCUUUGCUGCGGGAAGUUCAUUAAACCUUAUCAUUUAGAGGAAGGAGAAGUCGUAACA
This 330-nucleotide ribosomal RNA is filed under the name uncultured eukaryote. RNAcentral describes it as "partial 18S ribosomal RNA". It matches the Rfam family "Eukaryotic small subunit ribosomal RNA", at positions 1470 to 1796 of the family's 1831-position model. The record is from RNAcentral.